Molecule: long non-coding RNA, 2794 nt
Filed under: Canis lupus familiaris (dog)
Lineage: Eukaryota; Metazoa; Chordata; Mammalia; Carnivora; Canidae
Description: lncRNA (ENSCAFG00845008398.1)
Source: RNAcentral
UUUUACUGAGAAAAAAAGAAAAAAGAGAAAGAAAGAAACAAACAAACGAAGAAAGAAAGAAAGAAGAAAAGAGAAAGAAAAAAAAAAAAAAAAAAAAAAAAAAAAAAAAGAAAGAAAAAGAAAGGAAGGAAGGAAGGAAGGAAGGAAGGAAGGAAGGAAGGAAGGAAGGAAGGAAGGAAGGAAGGAAGGAAGGAAAAGGAAAAGAAAAAGAAAAAAAAAGAAAGAAAAAGAAAGAAAGAAAGAAAGAAAGAGAGAGAAAGAAAGAAAGAAAAGAAAGAAAGAGAAAGAAGAGAGAGAAAGAAGAAAAAGGGCUCAAAAUAAGAUGUUUUUAAAGUGUUCAUGCAUCUUUUUGUUAUACUAGUAAUAGUUACUCGAUAAUGCUCCAUAAUUAAAUUAAUAUCUUUCUCCCUUUUUAUCUUGAAUGUGUUAUAGUAGUAGAGUCUCUUGGAUUUCAGAAAGUGUAUAAUAUACUAAAGAUGGUGUACGUUGUAUUUCCAACAAAGACUCCAUUAGUAACUCUAUGAUCUCAUGUGAGCUAAUUGAGUUGAUGGUUACUCAUCCUUUUCUGAUCAGAAGUUUUAGAAAACUGUAGCUCAUUUGUCUAUGCCCUUAUUUAAGUCAUUUGCUUAUCUCCUCUUAUCUAAGCCACUUGAGUAAUGGGCAGUUACUGCCAAAAUAGCUUUUUCUUAAAAGUUGAAAAAGCAAGAAAAACAAUUUCUCCUUCUUCAUUUCUAGUUAAGAGUUUUGAUAACUUUCUUUGCACUUACUAAGCAAGCAUUCUGGGUUUGAUGCAAGGGCAAAGUAUGGGUCCAAGGAGGCAAGGGUGAAAGUGUAUAGGUGACAGUUUCCCAACCACAGAACUCAAUUGCCUCAGUGAAUAAUAAGAGUCAGACAAAGAACCGAUCUGUUCUGUUGCAUCUCAAAUUGAUUUACGUCAGUUUAUUCAUUUGCCAGUCUAGGGCAUUUAUCUUGCACUGCAACAUUCACAUGCUAAUUUAAUGGACAUUUGUUGAAUAAAGAUAAUAAUUCAAGCCAAUGAUAGAAGAACAUGCACUGUUCUAAAACUCUAUAGUCCAUUUAGGUAAUGAUUUAUUAUUUAUUUUUUCUACCUUUUUUGCUCUGCAGAUUUGAUUUUAUAUUGGGUAUAAUUUCCUAGAUAAAACAUGGACUAUAUAAGUGGGUAAUAGGGUUUUAUAGUGCCUAACUAUAGUAACACAUACAAUUAUCUUUUAAUAAGAGUUAUAAUAAUGAUAUACUCCCCUACUACUUUUAAUAGUUAUGAUGAUAUAUUUCUACCCAUACUCACAUAGAUGCAGAGAUUGCCUUUACUCCUUGGCCUGCUUCAUUCUGAGGGUUGGUAUGCUUGAGGAAGGAACUAAAGGACAGGAAAAAUCCACAAGAAUCAAGAACUAAGAUAGAAAUAAGAAAAUACUGGGGAUUCUGGGUGGCUCAGUUGGUUAAGUGUCUGACUCUUGAUUUCGGCUCAGCACAUGAUCUCAGGGUUGUGAAAUCGAGUCUCUGUGGGGCUCUGCAUUGUCGUGGAACCUGCAUAAGAUUCUCUCUCUCCCUCAAUCUCUACCUUUCCCCACCUCAAAAAAAAAAAAAGUGAGAGAGAGAGAGACAGAGAGACAGAGAAAUAAGAAAAUACUGGGAAAAUAAUAGAAACAAAAAUUAGAUUUACCCUGCCCACUGAGCUCUGUAUAGGGUUUAUAUUUGUCUUCUUAUUUUCCCUAAGGUUUCCUCUCCCUAGUUGAAAAGUCUUCGCAUUUGUCUUUAUAGAAGAUUUAGGAAUUAACAUUUUCUGAAUAUAGAAUAAAGAGGUUAGACAUGCGUAUGUGUAUGUCUAUGCAUACGUGUUUAUAUUUACCUAAGUGUGUUUAUGUGUAAAUAAAUAUAUUUACAAGUGUAUGUAUGUGUAUUGCAUUUGCAUGUGUGUAUAUUUGUAUAUAUAUUUACAUAUUUGGCAGUUUGUGUUUGUAUGCACAUAAGUAUGUAUAUAUAUGUGUAUAUAUUUGAGUAUCUAUGUAUUUAUAUUUGAUAUAUCAGAAGACAAACAAAUUUGAGAAAGUAAAUAGCUCAUCUGUAAAAUUGCUAGGUUUAAAAAAUUUACUUUCUAAUAUAUUCUGGCCUGGUCUAAGUCAAUAAAUUUUUUGUGUGCUUCAGGAGAAUAAUUUUAGAAUGAAGAGAAAUCGACCUUGGACAGUUUUCCAUGGAUUUGGAUAAUUUCCAGGCUAGGUUAUUAAUUGUGACUCGUAUGUUUUCUGGACCCUGCUGUAUCAAUUGAAUGAGGAGUCAUUUUCUUUUAUAAGCAAUUUUUAUUCCAUCUGUGGAUUGCUAUACUCCAUUUUAGAAAUGACUCUGUCUCGCCAGCCAAAAAAAAAAAAAAAUGCUUCUUUUCAAAGAAGUCCACUGUUUAUAGCUUUAAUUAGUGAUCAAGAGAUUUUCAAUAAGUCUUAAAGGUGAGGUCACGUAAGCUAAAAAGUUUUACAAUUACUUUUUCUUCCAUGAAAUUCAACACAAUAGAACAAAGAUUAGCAAUGGUUAUGAAACCUCUGAUAAUAAAUGGGCUUUCAAUAUUUUUCGUAUUCUCACUAGCGGAAUGGCUUGUUUUUUAAACUUCAUUUGAUCUCCAUAAGGUAUAAUUAAUUAUACAGAAUUUCAAAUCCCAAUGUGGAGAGCUGAAAACCACAUGGUAAUUGUUCUUAAUAGUUGGGAUUCUUUUCCUGGUUAGCAGCACAGAAACUUCUUUCUGGGAAUCACAAAAUUGUCAUGCUGAGUUGAACAGGAUGCAAAU